RNAcentral lists this ribosomal RNA (567 nucleotides) under uncultured bacterium. Its description in RNAcentral is "bacterial SSU rRNA". It matches the Rfam family "Bacterial small subunit ribosomal RNA", at positions 777 to 1334 of the family's 1533-position model. The record is from RNAcentral.
AAUAGAUACCCCGGUAGUCCUGGCAGUAAACGGUGCGCGUUUGGUGUGGGAGGAAUCGACCCCUUCCGUGCCGGAGCUAACGUGUUAAACGCGCCGCCUGGGGAGUACGGUCGCAAGAUUAAAACUCAAAGAAAUUGACGGGGGCCCGCACAAGCGGUGGAGUAUGUGGCUUAAUUCGAAGCAACGCGCAGAACCUUACCUGGGCUUGACAUGCUAGGAUUACCCCGGUGAAAGCCGGGUAGGCCCCGCAAGGGGUACAACUAGUACAGGUGCUGCAUGGCUGUCGUCAGCUCGUGUCGUGAGAUGUCGGGUUAAGUCCCUUAACGAGCGAAACCUUUACCCUUAGUUACCAGCGGGUUAUGCCGGGGACUCUAAGGGGACCGCCGGUGUCAAACCGGAGGAAGGUGGAGAUGACGUCAAGUCCUCAUGGCCUUUAUGCCCAGGGGCCACACACGUGCUACAAUGGCGUUGGCAAAGCGACCCUAAAGCGCGAGCUCAUGGAAAUCGCAGAAACAACGCCCCAGUUCAGAUCGGAGGCUGCAACUCGCCUCCGUGAAGUUGGAAUCG